RNAcentral lists this ribosomal RNA (465 nucleotides) under uncultured bacterium. RNAcentral describes it as "partial 16S ribosomal RNA". It matches the Rfam family "Bacterial small subunit ribosomal RNA", at positions 339 to 795 of the family's 1533-position model. The record is from RNAcentral.
CUACGGGGUGCAGCAGUGGGGAAUAUUGGACAAUGGGGGAAACCCUGAUCCAGCAAUGCCGCGUGUGUGAAGAAGGCCUGCGGGUUGUAAAGCACUUUCGGUUGGGAGGACUGCUUCUAGCACUAAUAUUGUUGGAAGUUGACGUUACCUUCAGAAGAAGCGCCGGCUAACUCCGUGCCAGCAGCCGCGGUCAUACGGAGGGUGCAAGCGUUAAUCGGAAUUACUGGGCGUAAAGCGCGCGUAGGCGGCUAGAUCAGUCGGGUGUGAAAGCCCCGGGCUUAACCUGGGAACUGCAUCCGAUACUGUCUAGCUUGAGUACAGGAGAGGAGAGUGGAAUUCCACAUGUAGCGGUGAAAUGCGUAGAUAUGUGGAGGAACACCAAUGGCGAAGGCAGCUCUCUGGCCUGAUACUGACGCUGAGGUGCGAAAGCGUGGGGAGCAAACAGGAUUAGAUACCCCAGUAGUC